GAGGAGUAUGUAUUGGAGAACUGCAUGGCAACUCAUUUCGCUUAGCUCAUCCAUGAACGAGGAGCACGCAUUGGAGAACUGCAUGAAAAUAUAUUCCACUCAGCUCAUCCAUGGACGAGGAGCAUGCGUUGGAGAACAACAUGAAGAUCCAUUCCGCUGAGCUCGUCCGUGGAUGAGGAGCAUGCAUUAGAGAAUCAUAUGGUGAUGCAUUCCACUCAACUCAUCUGUGGACGAUGAGCACGCAUUAGAGAACCGCAUGGAGAUGCAUUCUGUUCAGCUCGUUCAUGGACAA
Molecule: long non-coding RNA, 292 nt
Filed under: Elaeis guineensis (African oil palm)
Lineage: Eukaryota; Viridiplantae; Streptophyta; Magnoliopsida; Arecales; Arecaceae
Description: long non-coding RNA (EGUI_LNC002332)
Source: RNAcentral